RNAcentral lists this transfer RNA (65 nucleotides) under Longzhouacris mirabilis. Its description in RNAcentral is "tRNA-Gly". The record is from RNAcentral. Lineage: Eukaryota; Metazoa; Arthropoda; Insecta; Orthoptera; Acrididae.
GUUUUUCUAGUAUAAAUAGUACAUUUAACUUCCAAUUAAAAAGAUUAAUUAAAUUAAGAAAAACA